AAGAGAAACAGAGUCCAGAGUUGCUCUGGGCGUGGCGAGGUUUCAGGAUCUACCUUACCUGCAGAUUCUCAAGCCCCAAAACCAACUCAUUCUGAGUAGUAGCAGAAACGAAAACCAGAAAGCAUGGCGGCCAUAAGCCUGGGCUGCGCAGUCAGCCAGCUCGUAUUUGACUCCAGCGUUGCUCCUUGCUGUGUGACUGAGGCAAGUAACCUGUAAGGAAGAAAUAGAUCCCAGUCCUCUCCCCCACUGUUGCAGUGGGGGACAUAAUGAGCCAAGGUGUGCAAAGUCUUUACCUGGCAUGGAGCCCCAGUGUGUGGCCUUCUCUUUCAGGAUGAACAGCUCUGUGGGAAAGCAUUUCCAUUUAUUCUAAGUGGGCCCUGAAGUUCCGAUGUGGGCUUGAGAAGGGCUGGGGCAAUAUCUGGAUAGCCCCUCUCUCAGACCACCACUUUGGGCUGGAUGGGAAUCUGAUGUGAUUAGACCCAGGGAAUUCCAGUGGAGUCACUGACAUCUUCUUAGCUUGAUUAAAUCAUCCAGGACACUCUUUCCCACUGCAUCUCAAAGAUCUUUCAUCCUCAUCCUGCCUGAGGAUAACGGGCUUUCUGUUAUUCCUCCAGGAUAUGGGUUCAUUUCAGCUUGAGGGGGACCAGAAGAAAGAAACCCAGCAAGGCUCUGCCCUGCAGAUUAUGGGAGCUCACCCUAGCCUUCAGUGGUACCAUUUAAAGCAUUACUUUUAUUUAAAAAACAAACAGCUGUAGUAUCUUUAUAAAGUGGUAUAUUUGCCCAAGUUUAAGCUACUUCAUUUUGCUUUGCUGAGAGCUGAUUUGGGCAUGUUUACUCUCCUCUGUCACUAGGAUUACCUUGCUGGGAAAGUUCAAGGGGUUUGGUUUUUGGAUCUGUCUGGCCUUGAGACUCUUGUGGCUGUGGUUCAGCUAAAGAUACUUGGUGGCUGAGGUACAAGCUCAGAGACAGGUUCUAGCAUCAAGAACGGCAGGCCAAAAGCUAAAUGAGAACUGAGAAGGCAAGUUCGAAGCCAGCUCCGAAACUUUUCAAGAAAUAUCCUUGUUGCUAAUACCGUGCCUGGGGGCUGGCUGGGAUUCUAGGAUUAGUGUUCAGGAGAUAGAAAUGGGUAACAGCGGGGGAGGUGUGAUCUUUCCCAAGUGCCAUACCAGCUAUUAAAAUAAACAGGCUCCUGCUUCUUAGUGCUGCGUGUGGCAGGGAAAAAAAUCUGGGUCCAAGCAAAACCGGAAGUACUAAUGCAUGCAGUGGGAAAAAGGCCCAGACCACCGAGUCCUCAGAAACGACAUACCUGAGGCCCAUUCUAGGGGCAGAGAACAGUGUAGUCUCAGGUGUAAGUCCUGGGGUGGGGGCGGGGUGCCAGCUGCUCAGCGCAUAUGGCCAUGCUUGGGACUUAGCAAAGCUGGAUGCGGUGAGGAGGAGGGGAGAACCUUUUAUGGAGUCAAAGAGGAAACUGCCAUUGCAGUCAGAACCCCUGAAAAACAGGUGAUGCCGAAUUCAGAUGGGCAGGGGACCAGGAUGAACAGGUGUCGGCACUGAGUGCUUUAACAUUCUACCACAAAUAUUGCUGUACAUGAGUAUAGAUGACAGGCUCUCCCUGUCAGUGAGUCCUAACUGGCUCAACAUUACCUUGGGAAUUUUUAGAGUAACUUAUUGUGCCUGUGUGUGUGUGUGUAUGUAGGCCAGAGGGCAACUUUUGGGAGUUGGUUCUCUCCUCCCACCAUGAGGGUUCCAGGGAUGUAGUUCAGAUAGCUACAUCUGAACUUAGCACCGAGCCAUCUCGCCCUCAUCAUAACUCAAUCAUUGAACAUGACGAUCUGUCAUUUUUGAAAGCUCUCCAGGUGACCUGUGAUCUGAGCUGGGUCCCUCUGGGGGCCUUGCUUGACCAUAUCCUAGAUAGAUAGAUCUUAAGACUGCUCUUCAGGGGCCUGGAGAGAUGGCUCAGAGGUUAAGAGCACUGGCUGUUCUUCCAAAGGUCCUGAGUUCAAUUCCCAGCAACCACAUGGUGGCUCAUAACCAUCAGUAUUGAGAUCUGGUGCCCUCUUAUGACCUCCUGGCACACAUGCAGGCAGAAUUAAAAAAAAAAACAAAACAACAACAAAAAAAACCCCGCUUUUCAGAUGCCUGACCCUCAACUUCAACUAAGGGACCCUUUCCUUUCCGGGGUUCCCACUAAAGCUUGGAAUCCCAGCAAAGGGCCACUAGUUGCCAAGGGCAGUUCAGUGUCUAGAUACCAAACCCUGUCUAUACUUGUUCAAGGGCUUCUUGCUGUUGCUUCCUCUCUAUGCUCUUUCCCUAGCUGCAGGCUUCGGGAGACACUGAUGCCGUCGGCUCAUCAAACCACACAGGUGUCCCUAGCAAUACAAUAAUUCUGGACUCCUUGGGAUGAUUUAAGGCAGUGGCUAUUUUCUUUGCUUGGGAACGUGCAGGCCCUGGGUUCGAAAGGCCUUUGCAUCUGAAUGCUUUGCGACAUCCUGGUAACAGGUGUCCUGGAGCCGCUUGGCUAUGUCCCUGCCCUUGGCUGUGUUGGCAGAUACUGACAACCCAAGGGGAAGGCCACUGCCAUUCCACUUGGUGCCCCGGGAACAGCUGGCUGCGUGACAGGGCUCCCCGAGCACGCCCGCCUUCCUGAAUUUGUGGUGACUCGAAACUCGUACUACAGGUGGCUUUCUGACAUAAACGCUUUUUCUCAAUUCUAAUUUCAUCUGGCUGAACCCCUUGGGAGGGCUAAAGCCAUUAAAAACAACAACAAAAAAUGGUUACUAAGGUCCCUUCUCUGGUCAGCUAUCUUUUGUCCUGAGGUGUCAGUUCUGAGAAAAAAGUACACGCUACAAACUUUAUUUUGUGUAAAUGGGUUUAUUGACGAAUACACAAGGUCAAGCCUCCCCAAACCCCACCCUCCCCAAGAACAGAUCCAAACAAGAACAGGAGACUGAGCAUUCUCAGGACAACCUUGACCCUCCCACACCUGGCUCUAGCAUCCCAAGCAUCCAACACAGACACAUGGACCAGGCUUGGCUGGGGACAAACCCUCAGGGAAUCUGAUCAGAAAGAGCUCUGGUGUGUUUGCUUCCCUGUCCAGUUUGCAUGAGAGGCACACUUAGGCCAAGGAGAGCGGAUACAGGGUAACCUGACCCCAGUUCUCUCACUCUGGCUAAGCUCAAAAGGGGCCUGAAGGGAAGCUGUGGCAAAGGCAACAGCCUGUCUCUUUAGGAAAGGUCCUUGCAUGUGAAGCACCAUCCGAUAUUCUGAACUCUGCCUCGGGUGAGGUGAAAUGAGAGGCGGGCUCCCCAAGGGGUCCAACAUCACUGACCGGCUCAGGCCAGCAGAGAACCAUAGCUGUUAUCUGUCACUGGUGGAGAGCUGAGAAAGGCCUCAGUUUCUGGGGUGGGAACAUCCUGGUAUAAAAUUAUUCUCUGCUUGCCCUCACACAUACUCUUUCAGGAACUACAGUUCACUCUGAGAUGAGAACACUGUUGUCUGUAGUGCGAACCCCUUACACUACUUCUAUCUAGCUGACUCCAUGAAUGAGUCUCAACAAGGGAACCUUGUCAACUUGCUUUUUCCACCCAACAUAUCACCAACCUACCUGCCUCCCACACAAUCCUGCAGUAUUUCCUAUUCCCCACAUGGUGAGGGAGGGAUGUAUUUCCUUUUCACCAGCCAACAAUCCUGCUAAAGAUUCUCCAGGCUUAAGGAACUUGAGAGAAGCUUUGCAACUGGGAGAAAACAGGGUCACUCCAGACACACUGUUUAAGGAAGUUGGUUUCUACUCUCAUUUUCCACAAUCUCUUCCUCUGGAUCCAGUGGGUCAGGUCUGAGUCCAGAAUGAGGUCUUUGGACCGUGGCAUGCUUCUGCCUUGAGCAGGGGACUCCGAGUGGCCUCCGAAUACCAGGUGCCAGGCUGUGCAGCAAGUGCCACAUCUCGGUGUGGCAUAGUCAACAGUACCGAGAACGGUGGUGAGUAUGAGGCAUUCUUUGAUGAGUCAGACCAAUGUGUCAGGGAGGGGACCUCAUAUCCACGGCCCUUUGAGAGAUGACAAGAACUACAAGGCCUGGGACAAUCUUACUCUGCUUUGGAGCUUCAGUACCAUGGCUGAAGAGGAGACAGCUGAGGGGCAAUGAGAACUGGCAACUUCUCCACACACUUCUCCACUCCCUGGCCUCCAGAACUGGGCCUCUAGGAAAGCCUGGCAAAUGUCAGUGCUGCUUUCACUCGUUACCUGGAUGUACAUUCAGGUACCCGAGAAGAGGUCAACUGCCACCUGACAUCAAUGAAUGAGUGGAACACCAAACUCAGUAUGGAGUGUGCAAAGGGCCACAGGCAGGCACAGGAAAGGCAGAAGGCUUUGAGGAAAGGAACAAUAGUGAGCCAGCCACACAGGGAAGCUGAUGGAGCUUCAGGGAACCAGCCUAAGUUCUGCUAUGCAAGAUCCAAGAGGCCUCAGCAAUAAUAAAUUUUGCCUGUUACCUUUCUUUGUAGAAAAACAGGGUUGGACAAGUCAUUAAAGUCCAUUUUCACUCUUAAACAUUGAUUUUUAGAUCUGAACCAGCCCUGAAAAAUACAGGAAAGAAGGCUAGGGGAGGGCGCUGUGCUUAUUCAUCUCUACUCAGCCUCCUUAGUCAGUAUGAUUACUGGGGUACCACAGUGGAAAGGAGCAUAGCUCUACCACCUCUCAGCGCUGUCCCUGGUGAGUGUCCUUGUACUCUGAAACGUCACUGAAGACCACCACUGCCAAGCAUGGAGUCAUUAAAUAAGAUGGCAUGGGUCAUAAGGAGCUUGAAGGCCAAGGAAAGAAUUAAGAUAGAGGGGAAAAGCAAAGAUGUAAAUGACCAGGAGUGGGGUUGCCACAGACAAGAGAAACCCCCUCCCUGCCCCAGAAGGGGCCAGGAGCCAAUCCUGCAUCUCCUCUAAGACUGUGUUUGAUGAUGGUCAGUUGCCCUUCCUACUCAAUGUUCUCAGUUUCUCAUCUGUACAAAAAUAUAAAACAAUAAGGUGCAGUUUAUGUUUCAGUGACACUUUUCCUUGCUUUAAUUUGUUGGCUUUUUCUGCUUGUGAAAUGAGCUUUCGAUUACAAAAUAUCAAACUACACUCAAAAGAGGGUGUAGAAAAAGCUAGCCAUUGGCACAGCAUGGAGAAGCUCACUAGUAAGGACAGAGAGCGGCAGCGGGUGGCAGAGGUUGGGAAUGAUGGAAGCAGUGGUUACAGAUGUCACAAGAAGCUAACCUAUCCAACAGGGUGAAUGCUGAAGUCAGCACAGGACGACUGGUCACUACCGGGGUGCGUGCCGCAGGGUUUGGGGUCAGGCUCUACACAGCAGUACGAUUUCUUCCAGUUUAGAGUUCUUGGCUUGCACCGAUAACAGGGUGACUGGAGGGCACAGGACCCAUUUAUUAGUUUUUCAAAAUGCUGUCGUAGACCUGAUAGAUGUACUGAGAGACUUCGGGGGCUCUGCACUUCAGCGACAGCUGUGAAGAGGAGGAGAACGAAGAUUAGCAUGGAGACGGCAUUGGCCCUAAAGGCAUCUGAGCAUUCAGAUCAAGACAAAUUCUGACAUUCUGAGAGACUCUAUCAUUGGGAUAGCCAAGCAGAGAGCUCACAUUAAUACAAACCCUGAGUAACACACACCCCGCCUUCGUUGGUGUCAAGCUGCGCUGUGUGUCUACAGCCCGUGUGGCUUCCCCAGAAACCCUGGAUGAUUUACCACAGGAGAUAAGCUGGAAAUAUACUGAAGGAAAAAAAAAAGGUUCUCACUAUGUUGCUCUGACUGCUCUGGAACUCUCUGGAGACCAAGUUGGCUUCAAACUCAAGAGAUCUGCCUCAUCUGCCUCCUGAAUGAUGUAAAAGGCACCAAGUGCUUUUUUAUUUUUAUUUUUUAAAUAAAUGUAUAGUUAUUUUAUAA
Meriones unguiculatus (Mongolian gerbil) is the source of this 5918-nucleotide long non-coding RNA. RefSeq lists it as uncharacterized. Lineage: Eukaryota; Metazoa; Chordata; Mammalia; Rodentia; Muridae. The transcript has 5 exons. The record is from RefSeq and is a predicted model, not a curated record.